UAGUCGUUCUCGCCUUCAGUCAAAUUCCAGAAACAGUUUCGAGGUCUUAUCCAGCACUUUGCAUCUCCAAGUGGAAUGGAGAAGAGGAACCAGUCGAUCAGGUGGAAUUGUUUUCCUUGAUCUACAGGAGUUAAAGGGCAAAAGCUGAACCAGAGAAUUGGCGCAGAUGUUAAAUUCUGCUUCUACCGAACCAAGAGAGUACACUGUCACAUUGACUUCUCAGCUGCAGGAGUCGAAUGGAGCAGCUGGACUGGACGAUACAGAAAGCACAAUGGCCAUAGUUGCUCGAUUGGGUCUUCAGCACAUGAAAAAGAACUAAUUACAGCUCGUCUACUCAGUAUCGCCAAAGCAAGAAAGGAUAUAAUCAAUAUAUACACAAGGAACGUUGAGGAUACUUUUAUACAAGGUCGUUUACCUGCAAGGGACAUAUUUGAAACCCAUAUGAGUAACUCCUCUUAAGCUGGCUAUCUCGGAUGGUGUCACUGUGACAGGCGGAACUGGAAUUUCUCUCCCUGGAAUGUCUUGACUGGCAACUGAUAAAAUCGUGUGUGACUUUUUCUAUAUUGUUAAGGCAAUCUUGGUCUUUUUGCAUAAUGAUGCGUACAUUGCACAUUUACGUGCUUGUUGGGGUUGUGUUUAUUCAACGUUCUUUGUCAACUUCUGAUCUGUGCCAUUGACCAUCAUUACACUUGAUUUUGCUUCUGAGCUGAAAUAUAGUUUUCUGGCCAAA
This is a long non-coding RNA of Eucalyptus grandis, 730 nucleotides long. RefSeq lists it as uncharacterized. The transcript has 5 exons. Lineage: Eukaryota; Viridiplantae; Streptophyta; Magnoliopsida; Myrtales; Myrtaceae. The record is from RefSeq and is a predicted model, not a curated record.